GACGAACGCUGGCGGCGUGCUUAACACAUGCAAGUCGAACGGAAAGGCCCUGCUUUUGUGGGGUGCUCGAGUGGCGAACGGGUGAGUAACACGUGAGUAACCUGCCCUUGACUUUGGGAUAACUUCAGGAAACUGGGGCUAAUACCGGAUAUGAGCUCCUGCUGCAUGGUUGGUGUUUGAAAGUUUCGGCGGUUGGGGAUGGACUCGCGGCUUAUCGGCUUGUUGGUGGGGUAGUGGCUUACCAAGUCUUGGACGGGUAGCCGGCCUGAGAGGGUGACCGGCCACAUUGGGACUGAGAUACGGCCCAGACUCCUACGGGAGGCAGAAGUGGGGAAUAUUGCAAGAUGGGCGGAAGCAUGAUGCAGCAACGCCGCGUGCGGGAUGACGGCCUUCGGGUUGUAACCCGCUUUCGCCUGUGACGAAGCGUGAGUGACGGUAAUGGGUAAAGAAGCACCGGCUAACUACGUG
RNAcentral lists this ribosomal RNA (468 nucleotides) under uncultured bacterium. RNAcentral's name for it is "partial 16S ribosomal RNA". It matches the Rfam family "Bacterial small subunit ribosomal RNA", at positions 28 to 507 of the family's 1533-position model. The record is from RNAcentral.